AGACGUAGUUGAAUACAUGGAAUUUAGUUGUCCUGGCUAUGCAUCAUCUCUAAAGGUAACAGUAAUCCCAGUCUAUAUUAAUUGAGUAUUAGUCACACUUAACGUUGAAAAUUUGGAGAUACUCUUACAUGUUUUUGCAUAUCAGGGAGGCCAUAUUGGACAGUUUGAAGCAAAUUCUAUAGGAUUUGAAGGAGAGAAAGAUGUGAUUGAUCUAUAGAAAAGUUUAAGAGUAAACUAAAAGAUCGGCUUUGCACUUAACGAUGGGCGGGUACGGAGUGCUUGAUCAGGAGCGGAGUGGCUGUACGGAUGAUCAUGGUAAAUACAUUAGUGUGGUCAAAUUUCUCAAUCCAUGUAAAUGUUUUUGGAGGCUGAAUUUGCAGGUCAAGUUGAAGGUUUUGAAGACAUACAUGUUGGCGAUCAUUUUGCUAUAAAUAUUAUACAGAACUUUAUAUCAUAGUUUAGGGAUAGAUUUUUUGCUUAGGGGGUUGAGUAAAAGUUGUGACCCACAUCAUAGAUGUUAAUCA
Molecule: long non-coding RNA, 524 nt
Organism: Lycium ferocissimum
Lineage: Eukaryota; Viridiplantae; Streptophyta; Magnoliopsida; Solanales; Solanaceae
Exons: 3
Source: RefSeq, a predicted model, not a curated record